AGGUAAUGUGUUGUUCUUGGCCCUCCAUUUUCUCUAAUUUCUCGUUUGUUUCUCGAAUUCAUCUUCUCUUGGGAAGUUUACUACACUGACCUUCGUGUCUCAAUAAUCUUUCAGAUCAUUUUGAGGAUGUUGUGGCACUACUUUUCAAAUAUAUUGACCUUCUACGACAAGCUGGUGCCUGUAAAUGGAUAUUUGAUGAGCUUUCUGCUAUGUCUGAGACUGAUUUCCAUUAUCAAGACAAGAAUUCUGCCAUCGACUAUGUGGUAGAUGUUGCAUCGAAUAUGCAGAAAUGGUCCCAUAAUACUAGAAGUAUACACCACACUAGCUCUAACAGUGGAGAUUAUUUUACAAAGUCCCAUCAUAUCAUCUAUACUAGUAAGGACGUUGUGUACGCUCCAAAGUUUUCUUUUUCACUUUUUUCUUCUUCUUCUAAAUAGUAGUGUCUUUUGCAAUUGGCUAAUGAUUGUAUCCUCGCCUUUGAAACUUUCAAGCUCCUUUCUCCCAAGCAGAGCACCUCUUCCACGAUGUUACUGAAUCAAGUUAAUGAGAAGUUCCUUUUUAUUUAUUUUUUAAAUUUUUACAUGGUAUCUGAGCUUCUGCAACCUUGGUAGUGGCUCAAAUAGUUUUUGCUACUGGCUGGCGAUGUUGGCCAGUGUGUGUCACUCGCCCGAUAAAUCUUUUCUUCUUUUCUUCUUCCUUUCGGUGUCCUGUGCUGCUCGUCUCUUCGGUAGCCAGUGCUGCUAUCUCUGGGAAAACGUCCAGGUAUCACUUCUCUCCCCUGCAACUAUUCAUGAUCGCUCCCUCUAGCAACCGUUCAGUCACCAUUCCUCUCUCUAGGAUUGUUCAAGCACGGUUCAUCUCUCCGGUGACUGCUGCUGCUCCUUUUAUGAGACUGACUCCCUCAUCCAAACUUUGAAUUUCUUGUCAUUGUUCUGCCAAUUCGAGUUACGCUCUAAGGUCUUGGUGUUUUGCAACAUCAUACUUCACAACCAACGACUUUCUGAAGCAGGGGCGAAUGCACCCUAGUCCAAGCGGUGUC
Molecule: non-coding RNA, 1039 nt
Organism: Nicotiana tabacum (common tobacco)
Lineage: Eukaryota; Viridiplantae; Streptophyta; Magnoliopsida; Solanales; Solanaceae
Source: RefSeq, a predicted model, not a curated record